Molecule: ribosomal RNA, 253 nt
Filed under: uncultured bacterium
Lineage: Bacteria
Description: partial 16S ribosomal RNA
Rfam family: Bacterial small subunit ribosomal RNA
Source: RNAcentral
UACAGAGGGUGCGAGCGUUGUCCGGAAUCACUGGGCGUAAAGGGCGCGUAGGCGGCUUGAUAAGCGUGCGGUGAAAGCCCGGGGCUCAACCCCGGGUCGGCCGUGCGAACUGUCGAGCUGGAGCACUGUAGAGGCAGGUGGAAUUCCGGGUGUAGCGGUGGAAUGCGUAGAGAUCCGGAAGAACACCAGUGGCGAAGGCGACUUACUGGACACAUAUUGACGCUGAGGUGCGAAAGCGUGGGGAGCAAACAGG